GUGUCAGCCGCCGCGGUAAUACGGAGGGUGCAAGCGUUAUCCGGAUUCACUGGGUUUAAAGGGUGCGUAGGUGGGCAGGUAAGUCAGUGGUGAAAUCUCCGGGCUUAACCCGGAAACUGCCAUUGAUACUAUCUGUCUUGAAUACCCUGGAGGUGAGCGGAAUAUGUCAUGUAGCGGUGAAAUGCUUAGAUAUGACAUAGAACACCCAUUGCGAAGGCAGCUCACUACGGGAAUAUUGACACUGAGGCACGAAAGCGUGGGGAUCAAACAGGAUUAGAUACCCUCGUAGUCC
RNAcentral lists this ribosomal RNA (292 nucleotides) under uncultured bacterium. RNAcentral's name for it is "partial 16S ribosomal RNA". It matches the Rfam family "Bacterial small subunit ribosomal RNA", at positions 505 to 796 of the family's 1533-position model. The record is from RNAcentral.